CUCGAACCGUGGCCAGGGAUAUUUUUCAAGCUAUAUAUUUAACAAAUAUAAAACAUUUUCUGUGUUGAUAUACAGUUAUAACAGGAGUGGAAAUUGGGAAAACGAGAAAUUGUGUUUACGUCCGCAAGUGAACUAGAGUGGAGGCUUAGAAAGAAGUGUUUGAGAAAUAUCAAAUAUGGCCUCGGAAAAACAAAUCAGACCUUCAGUUUUCUGACCCAUGUUUGCAGUUAGCUCAUGUCAAUUCGGAAGGUAACCAGCUCGGUGAUUUCAACAUGGACUUAUAUGAUCAAGAUGGCAUCAGACACCUGUCUCUCAUUACCAGCAUAUCAUCUACUAACUCUAUGCUCUUAUCACAUCAGCCAUCGCACUUGGGGAACCAACAAUGACAACAAAGGGCAAAAGAAGAGAUAGAGCAGAAAUGGGAUCAUCGUAAUGAUUCCAAUUUGGAUGAUAUGUGAAUAAAAUAUAAAGGCCAAAGCAAUUGUGGCGCUACGGAGGGAACCGACAAGUUUGACUUGAAGCUAGACAGCUCCAACUAAAUUUAGUAAAAAGUAGAUUGACUGGAAGGACAGCUCCAACUAAAUUUAGUAAAAAGUAAGUGAAACACGCAUUUGAUUUAAGUUUAAAAACAAUAAAGGCAAUACACUAGCCCGACGAAUAUUUACAAAACAUUUUCGAGACAUGCAACAAGCAUGACUAAUUUCAUUCGAAUAUAGUCCGCAUGUAGUUUAUAAUAUACAACUGUACAAGAAAAGCAAACUUUUAGCCAUAGUUCCUUGCUUAGCUGACGUCCCACACAAAAUUUUCAUCGUGUCGGAAACGCGUGGUCGUAGAUUCAUAUCUCGCUUCUCAUAUCUCGCCUACCAUUUUUAGUUGCUGUUUAAUUAUGCAAGUUUACUAUGUUAUUGUUUAGUCGGUUUAAAUGUUAGAAUUUUCUUCUUUAAACUUUAAUGUUGUCGUCACUAGAUCUGGAAAACCACGUAAGAACAAAUUAAAAGUAUUUUAAAAGAGACCA
Molecule: non-coding RNA, 1015 nt
Organism: Paramuricea clavata
Lineage: Eukaryota; Metazoa; Cnidaria; Anthozoa; Malacalcyonacea; Plexauridae
Source: the annotation of a GenBank genome assembly